GAAGUCUGGGUCUUGGAUCUGGAACAAUGGUCCUGGUCUAAACCACCAAUAUCUGGCCCGUCUCCCCAUCCACGAGGAGGCCAGUCACAGAUUGUGAUUGACGAUCACACGUUGCUAAUCUUGGGAGGGUGUGGUGGCCCAAAUGCACUUUUAAGGAUGCCUGGCUCCUCCAUAUGGAUGCACUUCCUUGGAGGUGGCAACAGUUACAUGUGGAAAAUGAGGACCAUGGGGCCCCAGACUUUGGUGUCACCCAGCGUGUCGGGUGGGUCAGUGUGUGGUGGUUUUCUCACAAGCUCCAUCUGGCCGUGCACCGCUCAGCCCUAGUCUUAACUCUCGGCCCUCCCCCAUAAGUGCCACACCCGCCCCUCUGGGCCCCGAACCGCCUUCUCUGCGCUCUCAGU
Molecule: long non-coding RNA, 401 nt
Organism: Thalassophryne amazonica
Lineage: Eukaryota; Metazoa; Chordata; Actinopteri; Batrachoidiformes; Batrachoididae
Exons: 4
Source: RefSeq, a predicted model, not a curated record